This 460-nucleotide ribosomal RNA is filed under the name uncultured bacterium. RNAcentral's name for it is "partial 16S ribosomal RNA". It matches the Rfam family "Bacterial small subunit ribosomal RNA", at positions 338 to 795 of the family's 1533-position model. The record is from RNAcentral.
CCUACGGGUGGCAGCAGUGAGGAAUAUUGGUCAAUGGACGGAAGUCUGAACCAGCCAUGCCGCGUGCAGGAUGACGGCUCUAUGAGUUGUAAACUGCUUUUGUACGAGGGUAAACCUGAAUACGUGUAUGAUGGUGAAAGUACGGUACGAAUACAGAUCGGCUAACUCCGUGCCAGCAGCCGCGGUAAUGCGGAGGAUCCGAGCGUUAUCCGGAUUUAUUGGGUUGAAAGGGUGCGGAGGGGGUGUUAUAAGUUAGAGGUGAAAUGUCCGAGCUCAACUCCGGACCUGCCUCUAAUACUGUUGGACUAGAGAUUAGUUGCGGUAGGCGGAAUGUAUGGUGUAGCGGUGAAAUGCUUAGAGAUCAGACAGAACACCGAUUGCGAAGGCAGCUUACCAAUCUAUAUCUGACGUUGAGGCACGAAAGCGUGGGGAGCAAACAGGAUUAGAUACCCCAGUAGUC